AUAUAUUAGAUAUUCAAAGAUUUAAGAAUACGGCUUUCACAAAAAAAAUGGGAGAGAAGUAGAUUUUUGAAGCUGUGUUUGCAUUCUUCGUUUUCAACUUUCGAUGUCGAGUCGGGAAGGGUGGGAGUGUUGACUGGUUGGCUGAAUCGGAGCUCGGCGGCGGCGGUGGCGGCCUGGCAGCUGCUGUCCGUCAAAGCCAGAGAGGAGAGGGGAGAACAGAGGGAAAUCUUGAGGGUGAAAUCGGCGGCUGGCAGCGGUGGUUUGUUGUUGUCGAUGACGGUGGCAUCCGCUUGCUGCAAUCGCCGGAAAUGGUGGGAGAGGGGAUGGGCCGUGAGGAGGCGCGGCUGCCGUCGACUCGCCGGGACUGGAGCAGGCGGUGGCGGCGGAUCUGUGGAGGGAGGAGAGGCGGUGGUUUUGAGAGAGAGAAAAAUAGUAGUUUUAGAGAGAGAGAGAGAGGACCGAUGGAGGGGUUGAGGAGAGAGAUGAGCUUGUUUUAAUUGUUUCUUUUAUUUUAGAGCUUUACUUCUUUAAAGUUUGGACUUUUAUUUUGGGCCUCAAUAAUUAUUUUGCUAUGGGCCGACUGUUUUAUUAAUUUGAUGGGCUGAUUUCUAUUUGUGAAUGGGCUGCUUUUUAAAUAAAGUUAUGGGUUGAGUUUAUAUAUUUUAAGCUCAUUUAAAUUGGGCGGGCCUAUUACAUUAUUUCCUUAAACCUUAAUUAUUAUUUUGAGCCUGUAAAUAUUUUAAUAAAUUUUAUUAAUUUUAUCCCAAGAUUAAGG
RNAcentral lists this long non-coding RNA (775 nucleotides) under Salvia miltiorrhiza (redroot sage). RNAcentral's name for it is "long non-coding RNA (SMIL_LNC009510)". Lineage: Eukaryota; Viridiplantae; Streptophyta; Magnoliopsida; Lamiales; Lamiaceae. The record is from RNAcentral.